RNAcentral lists this ribosomal RNA (478 nucleotides) under uncultured bacterium. RNAcentral describes it as "partial 16S ribosomal RNA". It matches the Rfam family "Bacterial small subunit ribosomal RNA", at positions 28 to 523 of the family's 1533-position model. The record is from RNAcentral.
GACGAACGCUGGCGGCGUGCUUAACACAUGCAAGUCGAACGGUAAGGCCCUUCGGGGUACACGAGUGGCGAACGGGUGAGUAACACGUGGGUGAUCUGCCCUGCACUUCGGGAUAAGCCUGGGAAACUGGGUCUAAUACCGGAUAGGACCACUGCCUGCAUGGGUGGUGGUGGAAAGCUUUUGCGGUGUGGGCUGGGCCCGCGGCCUAUCAGCUUGUUGGUGGGGUGAUGGCCGACCAAGGCGACGACGGGUAGCCGGCCUGAGAGGGUGACCGGCCACACUGGGACUGAGGUACGGCCACGACUGCUAGGGGAUGCAGCAGUGGGGAAUAUUGCACAAUGGGCGCAAGCCUGAUGCAGCGACGCCGCGUGAGGGAUGACGGCCUUCGGGUAGUAAACCUCUUUCAGCACCGACGAAGCGCAAGUGACAGUAGGUGCAGAAGAAGGACCGGCCAACUAGGUGCCAGCCGCCGCGGUAA